Molecule: long non-coding RNA, 637 nt
Organism: Hyla sarda
Lineage: Eukaryota; Metazoa; Chordata; Amphibia; Anura; Hylidae
Exons: 3
Source: RefSeq, a predicted model, not a curated record
UAGAGAAUAGUAAAUAUGAUCUGGUCACUACAGAGAGUAACACCAGGGUAUAUCAAGAAUGUCGGGUGUAAACCAGUGAUUCCCAGCUAUUUUUGACGGAACUUCUGGAAACCAUUCAUUCAGCUCAACCUUCUAUGACACAUCAGUUGCUCCUAUUACUCUGGCAGCACAGCCCCAUUACAGACACAACAGACUCUCAUGCCCCCUCCUAUACUGCUAUAUGAGAUAAUGUUUGGCCAAAUACAUCACUAUGAACAUUGUGCGAUCAAAGAUAAUGAGAGUAGAGAGAAAGCAUUAAAUGAAUUCUAUGCCAAGCAUCUCUGAAUGGGCCGUACAUCAGAUUUCUGGCUGUAUUUCUCUUUGCAGAGAAAAGUGGUGCAGUUUACCUAAUAAGAUCACCUUGCAAUCUACAAUCUACCCUCACAAACAGCAGCAGCAUGGAGGACAUUAGAGAGAAGUACUGAGCAGCGUAAGACUACAAAAACUCACAAUGGCCGAGAAUAAAUAAAGUCUAGUGAAGGACAAUGAGGAGCAAAGAACGUUCUGUGAAAUCCAUUUAUUUCCAACAAGAUCAGAGAAAACCCAGUAAUAAUAUAAGUUCCAAGUUCAAAAGACCAGGCAGCUCUGUGCUCUACAU